This 453-nucleotide ribosomal RNA is filed under the name uncultured bacterium. RNAcentral describes it as "partial 16S ribosomal RNA". It matches the Rfam family "Bacterial small subunit ribosomal RNA", at positions 29 to 507 of the family's 1533-position model. The record is from RNAcentral.
AUGAACGCUGACAGAAUGCUUAACACAUGCAAGUCAACUUGAACUUCGGUUUGGGUGGCGGACGGGUGAGUAACGCGUAAAGAACUUGCCUCACAGUUAGGGACAACAUUUGGAAACGAAUGCUAAUACCUGAUAUUAUGAUUUUAGGGCAUCCUAGAAUUAUGAAAGCUAUAUGCGCUGUGAGAGAGCUUUGCGUCCCAUUAGCUAGUUGGAGAGGUGACGGCUCACCAAGGCGAUGAUGGGUAGCCGGCCUGAGAGGGUGAACGGCCACAAGGGGACUGAGACACGGCCCUUACUCCUACGGGAGGCAGCAGUGGGGAAUAUUGGACAAUGGACCAAGAGUCUGAUCCAGCAAUUCUGUGUGCACGAUGAAGUUUUUCGGAAUGUAAAGUGCUUUCAGUUGGGAAGAAAAAAAUGACGAUACCAACAGAAGAAGUGACGGCUAAAUACGUG